GAAGGUAUAGCUCAGUGGUAGAGUGCAUGCCUAGCAUGCAUGAAGUCCUGGGUUCAAUCCCCAGUACCUCCA
This 72-nucleotide transfer RNA is filed under the name Camelus bactrianus (Bactrian camel). It matches the Rfam family "tRNA". From Rfam's summary of the family: Transfer RNA (tRNA) molecules are approximately 80 nucleotides in length. Their secondary structure includes four short double-helical elements and three loops (D, anti-codon, and T loops). Lineage: Eukaryota; Metazoa; Chordata; Mammalia; Artiodactyla; Camelidae. RNAcentral also lists the same sequence under 2 other names. The record is from Rfam by way of RNAcentral.